UUUUAUUCCAUCCACUGGCCACAAAGUUUAGCACCUGAUUUUUUUAUUUUUUUAUUUUUUAUUUUUUUUAAUACUGGGAACAAAGGGAUCACACUUUUACUGUCACUAGCCCUUAACAUAAAUGUGUUAACCAAUAAUGUUUAAUUUGCAAAAAACAAAAAGAAGCUAAUUUGUACAGAAGUAUAAGUUUCAGUAUUUAUUGCUUCAAUAUUGUUAAAUGCUUCUACCUUGUAACUCCUC
This is a non-coding RNA of Pelobates cultripes (western spadefoot toad), 240 nucleotides long. NCBI's taxonomy places the organism in Eukaryota, Metazoa, Chordata, Amphibia, Anura, Pelobatidae. The record is from the annotation of a GenBank genome assembly.